This 104-nucleotide small nuclear RNA is filed under the name Marmota marmota marmota (Alpine marmot). Lineage: Eukaryota; Metazoa; Chordata; Mammalia; Rodentia; Sciuridae. RNAcentral also lists the same sequence under 1 other name. The record is from RNAcentral.
GUGCUCGCUUUGGCAGCACAUAUACUAAAAUUGGAAUGAUACAGAGAUUAGCAUGGACCCUGCACAAGAAUGACACGCAAAUUCGUGAAGCAUUCCAUAUUUUU